RNAcentral lists this transfer RNA (70 nucleotides) under Cavia porcellus (domestic guinea pig). It matches the Rfam family "tRNA". Rfam says of the family: Transfer RNA (tRNA) molecules are approximately 80 nucleotides in length. Their secondary structure includes four short double-helical elements and three loops (D, anti-codon, and T loops). The record is from Rfam by way of RNAcentral. Lineage: Eukaryota; Metazoa; Chordata; Mammalia; Rodentia; Caviidae.
GGGGAUUUAGCUUAAUGGCAUAAGCACCUGCCUGCCAAGCAUGAGGUUAUGAGUUCGAUCCUAAGUACCA